This 1842-nucleotide ribosomal RNA is filed under the name Proasellus jaloniacus. RNAcentral describes it as "bacterial LSU rRNA". It matches the Rfam family "Bacterial large subunit ribosomal RNA", at positions 402 to 2538 of the family's 2925-position model. Lineage: Eukaryota; Metazoa; Arthropoda; Malacostraca; Isopoda; Asellidae. The record is from RNAcentral.
UCAACGCAGAGUACGGGGGAAGUAGGUUUAAGACUGAAGUUUGUCGUGGACCAACUGCUUAUUACGUUUAGAUUUGAUAGAAAAAAGUAUCGCGAGAGAAAGGUUAAAGGUUUUAAAUAACAUGAAAACUGAAUUUUAAUGCAAAUAAUCAAAUAACAUACUUAGUGUUAUUGUACCUUUUGUAUAAUGGGUUAGCGAGUUAAAUUAAUUAGCAAGCGCAAGCGUAACGUAAGUAAUGUAGUUAAUUGAUUUAGACCCGAAACUAGGCGAGCUAAUAAUGAGCAAGUAAUAGACUGAACCCGUAAAUGUUGCAAAAUUUUGGGAUGACUUGUUAUUAGGGGUGAAAGGCUUAUCAAGCCUAGUGAUAGCUGGUUCUCCACGAAAUCUAUUUAAGUAGAGUGAAAUUUUUAAAUUAAGUUAGGUAAAGCUCUAAUACAAGGCCUAAUCGCGGAGUGUAAGUAUCUGAAGUAACUUAACUAUAAUUUUAAGCAGACUUUUAGCGCUAAGGUUUAAAGUCGAGAGGGAAACAGCCCAGAAUAUCGGUUAAAGUUGUUAAAUAAGUUUAAUUAAAAAGGUCCAACAGUAUGUUAAUACCGAGGUAGGCCUGGAAACAGCUAUCCUUUAAAGAAAACGUAAAAGUUCAAGUAUUAAUAUAAUAAUUUUUUAAGUUGUAUUUUUGGGCCUAUAAAUUUAUAGCAUAAAAAACUUAUACUGAAGCCAUAUUAAGAAAUUAGGUAGUGGAGUGUGGUUUAUCUUAAAAAAUUUAAAAUGAAAAUUUUAAAGAAAAGAAAACUAUUAAUUAUGCUAACAUGAGUAAUAAACUAUUUUUGAGAACAAAAUAUGCCGUAUGUUGACGUGGUUUUGCAGUUGCGAUAAUCUGACUGCAUAAAAAUCGAUCGCUAACCUCUAAACUAACGUUAAGAGCGAUGCAGGUGAGUCAUUACACUUUUUAAAGUGCCUUGCUUAAACAUUUAAGCUUAGCACAAUAGAAAGUUGGAAAAAAACUCAAAUUAAUCGUACAAAUACCGACGCAGGUCAACUAACUGAGUAAGUACAGGCAAAAAAGUGAAUAAUACUAAAGGAACUCGGCAAAAUAUCUUUGUAACUUCGGGAUAAAAAGAACUUUAAGAGUAUGAUAAAAGAGGGGGUAGCGACUGUUUAUUAAAAACAUAAGACUUUGCUAAAUAGAAAUAUGACGUAUAAAGUCUGACACCUGCCCGGUGCUGCAAGAUAAAAACAUCGGCGUAAGCUCUUGUAUAAAUCCCAGUAAACGGCGGCCGUAACCCUGACGGUCCUAAGGUAGCAAAAUCCCUUGACGGGUAAGUUCCGUCCUGCACGAAUGGUGUAACGACUGCCCCGCUGUCUCUAGUAUUAUCUUUAUGAAUUUGAAUUAGACGUGAAGAUGCGUUAAUAUACAGCUAGACGGAGAGACCCUAUGCACCUUUACUGUUAUCUAGCAGUAUAAAUUAACAAUUUUUCAUAUAGGAAUGUAGUGAUACUAUACAAUUGAAAAACUACUUGUUAAAUUGAUUAAUUUUAAAAUAGGUAACCUGAUACCCUUUUUUUGCUUGAAAGACAGUUUGGCUGGGGCGGCAACCUCCUAAAAAGUAACGGAGGUGUAUAAUGGUUAAAGUUAUGUAAAAACAGCGAACGCUGAAUGAAAAACUUAAGCUUGAUUAGUUUACUAACAUGUAAGCUAAGGACGAAAGUCUGUCAUAAUGACCCGAUUUUUUAGAUCGCAUAAAAAAUCGCUCAACGAAUAAAAGGUACGCUAGGGAUAACAGGCUUAUAAUUUCUGAGAGUUCCUAUUGAAGAGAUUGUUUGGCACCUCGAUGUCGGCUC